This 459-nucleotide ribosomal RNA is filed under the name uncultured bacterium. RNAcentral's name for it is "partial 16S ribosomal RNA". It matches the Rfam family "Bacterial small subunit ribosomal RNA", at positions 338 to 795 of the family's 1533-position model. The record is from RNAcentral.
CCUACGGGCGGCAGCAGUGAGGAAUAUUGGUCAAUGGCCGGAAGGCUGAACCAGCCAAGCCGCGUGAGGGACGAAGGUGCUAUGCAUUGUAAACUUCUUUUGUCAUGGGACAAAAUCAGCCUCGAGAGCCUGUUAGAGGGUACUUGAAGAAAAAGCAUCGGCUAAUUCCGUGCCAGCAGCCGCGGAAAGACGGAGGAUGCGAGUGUUAUCCGGAUUUAUUGGGUUUAAAGGGUGCGUAGGCGGACUUUUCAGUCAGCGGUAAAAGCCCGGGGCUCAACCCCGGCGAGCCGUUGAAACUGGCUGUCUUGAGAUGUCGAGAGGUAUGCGGAAUGCGUAGUGUAGCGGUGAAAUGCGUAGAUAUUGCGCAGAACACCGAUUGCGAAGGCAGCAUACCGGCGGCGAUCUGACGCUGAGGCACGAAAGCGUGGGUAUCGAACAGGAUUAGAUACCCUGGUAGUC